RNAcentral lists this transfer RNA (72 nucleotides) under Ailuropoda melanoleuca (giant panda). It matches the Rfam family "tRNA". From Rfam's summary of the family: Transfer RNA (tRNA) molecules are approximately 80 nucleotides in length. The record is from Rfam by way of RNAcentral. RNAcentral also lists the same sequence under 1 other name. Lineage: Eukaryota; Metazoa; Chordata; Mammalia; Carnivora; Ursidae.
ACCUGGCUGGCUCAGUAGGUAGAGUGUGUGACUCUUGACCUCAGGGUGUGGGUUUGAGCCCCACAUUGGGUG